Molecule: ribosomal RNA, 497 nt
Filed under: uncultured bacterium
Lineage: Bacteria
Description: bacterial SSU rRNA
Rfam family: Bacterial small subunit ribosomal RNA
Source: RNAcentral
GAUGAACGCUGACGACGUGCUUAACACAUGCAAGUCGAACGAAGCAUCUCUCCCGAAGAUUGAAGUAGCUUGCUACGGAUUGAUUCAAUUGAGAUGACUGAGUGGCGGACGGGUGAGUAACGCGUGGGUAACCUGCCUCGUAGAGGGGGACAACAGUUGGAAACGACUGCUAAUACCGCAUAGGAAAAAACUUUCGCAUGGAAGUUUUUGUAAAGUAUUUAUACACUAUGAGAUGGACCCGCGUCUGAUUAGCUAGUUGGUAAGGUAACGGCCUACCAAGGCAACGAUCAGUAGCCGGCUUGAGAGAGUGAACGGCCACAUUGGGACUGAGACACGGCCCAGACUCCUACGGGAGGCAGCAGUGGGGAAUAUUGCACAAUGGGGGAAACCCUGAUGCAGCGACGCCGCGUGAGUGAAGAAGUAUUUCGGUAUGUAAAGCUCUAUCAGCAGGGAAGAUAAUGACGGUACCUGACUAAGAAGCCCCGGCUAACUACGUG